UAGUGAAAUGAUGGCAGUCAUCUUUCGGGACUGACCUGCAAUGAAGAGGUCAAGUUAUUGCCUGUCACUU
This is a small nucleolar RNA of Suricata suricatta (meerkat), 70 nucleotides long. NCBI's taxonomy places the organism in Eukaryota, Metazoa, Chordata, Mammalia, Carnivora, Herpestidae. The record is from Ensembl.